Non-coding RNA from Collariella sp. IMI 366227, 103 nucleotides. The record is from the annotation of a GenBank genome assembly. NCBI's taxonomy places the organism in Eukaryota, Fungi, Ascomycota, Sordariomycetes, Sordariales, Chaetomiaceae.
GGCUCAAUGGUCUAGUGGUAUGAUUCGUGCUUCGGGUGGAUCCCACCGUCUGUUAACAGGCUGAAGAUGUGCGAGGUCUCGGGUUCGAUCCCCGAUUGAGCCC